UACGGAGGAUGCGAGCGUUAUCCGGAUUUAUUGGGUUUAAAGGGUGCGUAGGCGGUUCGUUAAGUCAGCGGUAAAAUUGCGGGGCUCAACCCCGUCGAGCCGUUGAAACUGGCAGACUUGAGUUGGCGAGAAGUACGCGGAAUGCGCGGUGUAGCGGUGAAAUGCAUAGAUAUCGCGCAGAACUCCGAUUGCGAAGGCAGCGUACCGGCGCCAGACUGACGCUGAGGCACGAAAGCGUGGGGAUCGAACAGG
RNAcentral lists this ribosomal RNA (252 nucleotides) under uncultured bacterium. Its description in RNAcentral is "partial 16S ribosomal RNA". It matches the Rfam family "Bacterial small subunit ribosomal RNA", at positions 524 to 776 of the family's 1533-position model. The record is from RNAcentral.